AUGCCUCAGGAAAUAAAGUCUUUGCUUUCAUUUUUUGGAAGUCAAUUCGCCAGCAGUCAAAAAACAUGGAAAGUCACCAUUUUGGAUUCUUAGCAUUCCCUCUGAAGAUACUGCAAGAAAUUGAAUGAGAUAUGUGAACUAUGGGGUCCUGGACAAUCUCCUGAGGAGCUGUACAGUUCUCUUAAAAAUUACCCUGUGGAGAAGAUGGUUUCAUUUCUACAUUCAGACUCUACAUAUAAAAUAAAGAUUCACAUUUUUAAUAAGACAUUGACACAAGAAGAGAAAAAUCAAGCAAACAGAUGCAUGUAAAUUUCUCCUAUUUUAAGAAAACGUGAAUUUAAAGAAAUGACAACAUAUAUUCUCUGUUUUGGAGGAUUGUGGUUUGGACCGAAACUGCAUUCCUGAGAAUCCACAUGAUAUUUGUUUUGAUAGAUGGAUUGCAGAUGGACAGAGAGAGCUUACUGAGUCAUACCGUGUCAAAAAGGGGCGCUUUGCUAGAAAUACAAGUGUGGAUGCUGGUUUGUCAUGCAGCAUGGCUAACCAUGGGAAAGUGAAAGAAAAUGACAUUGUCUUUGAUCCAUUUGUCAAAACAGCAGUGUACUAUGGCCUCAUGAUAGCAUCUGCUCAUUUUGGUGCCUAUGUAUAUGGGGCAGACACAGACUACAGCACAGUUCACGGCUUGGGAAAGGCCAGUAGGGAAAAAAAACAGAUAUGGAGAGGACCAGAAGAAAACAUUAGAGCCGAUCUUUGUCAAUACAGUUUACAGAAGUAUUACCUUGAUGUCCUGGUGUCAGAUGCAUCUAAACCUUCCUGGAGAAAGGGCACAUGUGUUGAUGCAGUCAUUACCAAUCCCCCACAUGGUAUCAGAGAAUCUACGAGAACAGGGUCACAGAAGGAAAUACCGAAAGAGGUGGAAAAACGUCCAGAAAGCCACGUUCCUGUUUCCUUGAGUUAUCAUCUGAGUGAUAUGUUUGUUGACUUUGUUAAACUUCGCAGCUGAGACCCUUGUGUUAGGUGGAAGACUAGUAGUCUAUCGGUUACCAGUGUGUACACCACAAUACAUUGAAGAGAUGGUGCCCUGGCACCCUUGCGUGAAACUCGUUAGCAACCGUGAGCAGAAGCUUUCCAGUCACUCAUCAAGGCACCUGAUCACAAUGGAAAAGGUGAAGAAAUUUGAGAACCGGGACCGGUAUUCAUGUCUGCAAAGUGAUCGUUUUCUGCCAUACCAAGGCCAUAAUUGCUUCCGUGAGAAAUAUUUUAGUGG
Molecule: non-coding RNA, 1264 nt
Organism: Saimiri boliviensis boliviensis (Bolivian squirrel monkey)
Lineage: Eukaryota; Metazoa; Chordata; Mammalia; Primates; Cebidae
Source: RefSeq, a predicted model, not a curated record